RNAcentral lists this ribosomal RNA (324 nucleotides) under uncultured eukaryote. Its description in RNAcentral is "partial 18S ribosomal RNA". It matches the Rfam family "Eukaryotic small subunit ribosomal RNA", at positions 1470 to 1796 of the family's 1831-position model. The record is from RNAcentral.
CCCUUAGAUGUUCUGAACCGCACGCGUGUUACACUGAUGCAUUCAACGAGCUUUACCUUGGCCGAGAGGCCUAGGAAAUCUUUUUAGCAUGCAUCGUGAUAGGGAUUGAUUAUUGCAAUUAUUAAUCAUGAACGAGGAAUUCCUAGUAAACGCAUUUCAUCAAAAUGCAUUGAUUACGUCCCUGCCCUUUGCACACACCGCCCGUCGCACCUACCGAUUGAGUGGUCCGGUGAAGUCUCGAGAUUGUGGCAAUCUCCUUUAUUGGAGUUUGACUGCGAGAACUUGCCUAAACCUUAUCACUUAGAGGAAGGUGAAGUCGUAACA